GCCUCUGUGGUCCAGUUGCGGGAUGGACGCUGGUCUGAAAAGCCGGAGACAGGAGUUCGACUCUCCUCGGAGGCA
RNAcentral lists this transfer RNA (75 nucleotides) under Spirochaetota bacterium. RNAcentral's name for it is "Spirochaetes bacterium tRNA-Phe". It matches the Rfam family "tRNA". Rfam says of the family: Transfer RNA (tRNA) molecules are approximately 80 nucleotides in length. Their secondary structure includes four short double-helical elements and three loops (D, anti-codon, and T loops). The record is from RNAcentral. Lineage: Bacteria; Pseudomonadati; Spirochaetota.